Molecule: ribosomal RNA, 446 nt
Filed under: uncultured organism
Description: partial 16S ribosomal RNA
Rfam family: Bacterial small subunit ribosomal RNA
Source: RNAcentral
ACACUCCUACGGGAGGCAACAGUGGGGAAUAUUGGACAAUGGGCGCAAGCCUGAUCCAGCCAUGCCGCGUGAGUGAUGAAGGCCCUAGGGUUGUAAAGCUCUUUCACCGGUGAAGAUAAUGACGGUAACCGGAGAAGAAGCCCCGGCUAACUUCGUGCCAGCAGCCGCGGUAAUACGAAGGGGGCUAGCGUUGUUCGGAUUUACUGGGCGUAAAGCGCACGUAGGCGGACUAUUAAGUCAGGGGUGAAAUCCCGGGGCUCAACCCCGGAACUGCCUUUGAUACUGGUAGUCUUGAGUUCGAGAGAGGUGAGUGGAAUUCCGAGUGUAGAGGUGAAAUUCGUAGAUAUUCGGAGGAACACCAGUGGCGAAGGCGGCUCACUGGCUCGAUACUGACGCUGAGGUGCGAAAGCGUGGGGAGCAAACAGGAUUAGAAACCCUGGUAGUCC